Molecule: long non-coding RNA, 537 nt
Filed under: Eucalyptus grandis
Lineage: Eukaryota; Viridiplantae; Streptophyta; Magnoliopsida; Myrtales; Myrtaceae
Description: long non-coding RNA (EGRA_LNC000231)
Source: RNAcentral
AAAAAAAAAACGUCCAAACGAGUCAUGAGCAACGCUUGUGUAACCAUACGGACAUUUAUAUAGUGCAUUAUCUCAAAUUCAAGCGUUUCUGAAUUCUUUCACAAACUCCGUACGUAUAAAAGCAAAUAACUAGAAACGUGGAGAAAGGGGUUCCAUCUCAAGCACUCUCUUGUAGCCAAAAUGGAGAGGGAGUAGGUGUCACUGGCUUCUCUCUGCAUCUCUCUGUCUUUGACAUGCUUAAUGGCACAUGUUAGAUCAAUCAAGUUCAAAGUUUUCCUAUUGACUGCAAGGAAAAGGUACAUCAUGUCCCUGAACUAGGACUGAGUUUCCCACAAUGACAUAUGUCCUACCAUGAUAAAUCUAAACAUAGGCCACAGACGACGGGUUUGAAUUGCUAAAAAAUACAGGCUCAACUUUGCAGGUUCAUCCCACUUUUUUUUUUUUUUUUCUGCAGGUUCAUCCCACUUAAAUUUGCUUAAAUUUGCUCAGAUACUUGAUAUUCCAGGGAUCAUAAUAAAAUGAGGAUCCAACCUCAUC